RNAcentral lists this unclassified non-coding RNA (394 nucleotides) under uncultured fungus. Its description in RNAcentral is "partial contains small subunit ribosomal RNA, internal transcribed spacer 1, and 5.8S ribosomal RNA". The stretch from base 1 to 73 matches the Rfam family "Eukaryotic small subunit ribosomal RNA", at positions 1759 to 1831 of the family's 1831-position model. Lineage: Eukaryota; Fungi. The record is from RNAcentral.
UCAAACUUGGUCAUUUAGAGGAAGUAAAAGUCGUAACAAGGUUUCCGUAGGUGAACCUGCGGAAGGAUCAUUAUUGAAUAAGCUUGAUUUAGAUUGUUGCUGGCUUUUUUAAAAAAGCAUGUGCACAUCUAUCUCAUCUUUAUUAACCACCAUGUGCACUUUGUGUAGAUUUGAAAUGACUCUCGAGAUACAAACUCGGACUGCGAAUAUGCUGAGCCAAUUUUUAUUGGUUCAACUUUUCUUGUAGUUUCAAAUCUAUGUUUCAAUACAUAUACUCUUUAUAAAAAGUAUUGAAUCGUCAUUCAAGUUCAGGCACAUCUUGUCUGAAUAUAUAUAUAAAUAUACAACUUUCAACAACGGAUCUCUUGGCUCUCGCAUCGAUGAAGAACGCAGC